RNAcentral lists this ribosomal RNA (300 nucleotides) under Triticum aestivum (bread wheat). RNAcentral's name for it is "partial small subunit ribosomal RNA". Lineage: Eukaryota; Viridiplantae; Streptophyta; Magnoliopsida; Poales; Poaceae. The record is from RNAcentral.
AUGAGCUGUACUGUUGAGAGGGUAUUUGGAGCUCUGAAGAAUAGGUUUAAGAUCCUGGAUCAGAAGCCAUUCCACCCAUACUCCACUCAGGUUAAGCUAGUUCUUGCUUGUUGCAUUCUGCACAACUGGAUCCUCCAGUGGGGCUUUGAUGAACACGUGCCUGAGGAGGAAGAUGUCGAGCCUGACAAUGUUGUUAGCUCCGGCCAUGGUGUGGAGGCAUUUGAUAAUGACGCUUGGAAGAACAAAAUGUUGGAGUGGAAAGAGGCGAUGUGGCUUAAUAGAGGUCAGUGCAGGAUUUGA